This is a non-coding RNA of Helianthus annuus (common sunflower), 102 nucleotides long. The record is from Rfam. NCBI's taxonomy places the organism in Eukaryota, Viridiplantae, Streptophyta, Magnoliopsida, Asterales, Asteraceae.
GGGCUAUGAUGAUCCCAUGUGAUAAGGUCUCGUUCGUCGUAACGGUGAUUAACAAUCACCUUGCCGACCAUACUGUUAUAUCACCACCCAUAAACUGAGUCC